This is a long non-coding RNA of Capsicum annuum, 3791 nucleotides long. RefSeq lists it as uncharacterized. Lineage: Eukaryota; Viridiplantae; Streptophyta; Magnoliopsida; Solanales; Solanaceae. The transcript has 4 exons. The record is from RefSeq and is a predicted model, not a curated record.
ACUUGCAUGAACCGUUGCCAUAAAGCUACCUAUGGCAACGCUUAAUUGAGAGAAAAAAGCUAUUGCAACAACUUUAAUUUUUUUCCCUCCCAAUUGUUCACAAAUAAUGAACUAUAUAACAAAAAUUUUAAAAAUGAAAGAGUUAACACUUCGGGCCUGAAAGCAAAAGGGUUAAGCAGCUAUUGUAAAUCUUCAAAUCAAAAAGAUUGGGUCUCCAGUCGAUCUAUGGACUGCUGCUCCGAAUCGAGUGAUCUUCAAAUCAGUGCUCCAGUGCUCCUAUACGCAUCUCCAAAUUUACAAAAAAAUUGGGUCUCCAAUCGGUCGACUGCUCCGGUCGACUACUGUUCUGACUACUAGUGCUCCGACUGCUUUCGAUUGAACCCUAGCCAUCUAUUGAAAAAGGUAUUUCAGUGCCCUAAUUUCUAACUUCUAACAGUAUUUUUGUGCUUGUUGUAAAGUGUCGUAGGAUUUCAGUGCCCUAAUUUCUUGCAAAGUGCCAAUUUUUUGUGCUUAUUCUCUUAAAGAUACGGGUUUUUAAAAGUAUUUGCUAUUACUUGAUAACACAUGAACUCUGGGGCCAUGGUAUCUUUUUCUUUGAGAUGUUGGGUGGAAUUCUACAGUUUUUUUGUACUUUUGUAGUAUGGGUUGUGUGAAUUUGCUAAACGUGAUUGAUUUUGGACUAUUUGUUUGGUUCUGGCCUGUUGUAUUUGAAUUUGUUGUGCUUAAGUGAACUGAAGGGGAGCCUUGUUAUAGCUGGUAAAGUUAUUGCUAGGAUUGCAUUUAUCGAAUUCAGGGAAAUCGAGUUUAGCACUAGUGCCAUUGAAGGUUUGAUUACAGUAUCAAAAGGGAUGUUGGGUACAAGCGCUGGUAUGGUAAGUGAGCUCGUGAAGAAAAAUUAGUUUGUGGAAAGGUGUAGCAGGUGUUUGUUUCUGCUCCCGAUCGCAGAAUUGUUGUAAGUUCGUUUCACUUUUGCUUUCUCAAUUUUCAACAAUAUCAUCUGCAUUAGUAUUUUUUUAGCUAGCGACGUCGAUAGAUUUUGAAAAUUUAUUUUUAAAUAUAUAUGUUGGGUCUUACAACUUUCAAGUACCAAAGAAUGGGCUUAGACUAGUUUUUGGGAUUUUAAACUUUCAAUUCAAUCAAGAUUAUGAUGUCAAAGCACCCUUGUUUUUCUAAUUUUCCGGCUACUGCAAGAAUCAUAAAUUCAGAUUAUCAAGUUCAGCUUCAUUCUUCAAAAUCUAUGGCCAAACGAGAGCUUAAUGUUUUAACACAUACUAAGAUCUUUUUACAGUUCAUAAUUUUAGCAAUUGCUUGAGCUAUAAUUUCUUAGGUAGGUGUGUUACUGCUAGAGACAUUAAUUUAGAAUCAAUGUGUUGACAACACGGUUCUAACAAGUAAACUUCUGUUUGGAGGAAAGAGGAUUUUAGUUUUGCUUAUUUUACCAACUGUUUGGUAUUUAAUGAAGAAUAUACAUACCAGUUAAAAAGAUGAAACUGAGCGAAUGCACAUAAUUUAGAAAAACAUAUCUAAUCACCAUUCACCACUCUUGAAAAAAUCUCCAACUAUAAUACUUGCUACAUUAGGAAAGCAAGGAAAAGGGGUCUGGAGAAUUCAAUACGAAGUAGAAAUGCUAAAUCAGUAGGAAUGCUAGUGGAGUGUACAUGCUAAAAUUAAAAAGAGUUGUCAUGCUGAAAUACUUGCAAGCAUUACCAAGCAGUGGCAGUGUGGCAUCCAAGUUUUUUCGAAGUUUCAGUUUUACCGGCAAGCUUAAACUAUCUGCACAAUACUUGAAUUGUGCUUGACUUCUGUUUGACUCUCCUAUAGAUUGUCCACUCUGAUUUCCUUUUUACCUCAUGAUGCCACAUGCCAUCUGCUCGUUUUACCUUUCUACUGGAAAAGAUGAUGUAGACCAACUAAAGAUGAUUAACACCUGCAGUUCCAUUGGGAUGUAUGUAAGGAGCGACUAGUUCCCUGUAACAGCUCUACCGCAGUUAUUGACAUAUGUGUUGUAUAUGUCUAUUGCUUCAGAAUUGCUUACAGUACUGCAAAGGGUGAUCGAGGAAAGUGCCCCUGUACUUGUCAUGACCAGGGUUGAGGCAUAAGAAAGAAGAAACAAUAUUCGUUUGAGGGAGGAGCAAGAUGCUGCUUAUCGUGCUGCACUAGAAGCUGAUCAACUAGAGAGCGCCAGAGGAUAGAAGAGCAAGAGCACCUGAAGAGGGAAGCUGCUGAAGCUGAAAAGAAAAGAAAGGAGGAAGAAGAGGCCCGAGAAAGAGCAGCACAUGAAGCUGCUGAAAGAGAAGCUGCAUUAGUUAAAAUGCGCCAGGAGAAACUGUUGUCAUUGGGCCCUGAACCUGAGAAGGGUCCUGAUGUUACCCAGGUUUUGGUACGGUUUCCUUCUGGAGAGCGCAAGGAGAGGAGAUUUCAUUGUACUGCAACAUCACAAUCGCUGCAUGACUAUGUCGAUUCUCUGGGAUGCCUAGCAGUUGUCAAAUUUCAAAGAUUAUAUUGAAAGACUAAGAACUUUGAAAUCAAGCUGUCAAAAUCAUGGUGAAAGUUGUGGUGCUGAUUCUGGCCGCUUAAGUUCAAGAUCUACAGCUAAGAUGGAUGAAAGGAAUAUCAGUGGCUGAAGAUAGGAUCAAAGAACUUCAAAAUAAAGUUUGUCUUGGAUUCUUUGAAAGAGAUUACAGGUUUCUUCAUUUGGAAUUGGAGGCAUUGCUUCAAAUUGUACAGGGGGUCAAACUAGGAGCAAGAGAUGACAUGUCAUUGCUAAAUAGAGUAAUAUCAGUGGAUGUAAAAGAGACUACAUCAACAACUUAACCCAAUGUCGAACGGCCUUUGCCAGCUCUUGGGUUGGAAUUGGAUGUACACCAAAAAAUUUGCUUCAUCAUAUAGGCAUACCCCCGCUGAUGUCUCAAGGAACUGAUUCCACUGUUGCUAUUGAUGUAUUGAAAGCCAAAAUUUUUGAUCUGGUAAGAGAAGUGGAUGAGGCAAAGCUUGAAAGAGAAAAUCUGUUGAGAAAAAUGGACCAGAUGGAGUGGAUCAGAUGGAGUGUUACUAUGAAGCUCUUGUUCAGGAACUCGAGGAAAAUCAGAAGCAAAUGCUGGCAGGGUUGCAGAGUCUAAGGAAUGAACAUUCAAAUUGCGUUUAUACCAUUUUGAAUAGCAAAACUGAAAUGGAAUUAAUGCGACAAGAUAUAAAGUCAGCGCGUGUUACAGCGUGCUGAUGAGAGACGUGAUUUGGAUACUCUUAAUAAGGAGCUCGAGAGAAGAGCUGCUACUUCAGAAGCAGCUCUGAAAAGAGCCCAUUUGAAUUAUUCUAUUGCAGUAGAUAAGCUGCAAAAGGAUUUGGAGCUUCUUUCAUCACAGGUCGUGCCCAUGUUUGAGACUAAUGAAAACCUCAUCAAGCAAGCAAUUCCAGAACCUUCACAAUCACAGUUCCUUGGGUAUGUAGAUGUUGUUCAGAAUUUAGGAGAAUAUGAUAAUACAGAGCAGUUGCGGUUGCAGGAUCAACAUGUGAUUGCAAAGAAACUAACCCUCGGUGGAGAUGUCCUCACUGAUGACUUGAAAAGAUCACUCUGCUUGCAGGAGGAGCUUUACAGGAAGGUUGAAAAAGAACUUGGUGAUAUGUAUUCAGUUAAUUUGCACUUAGAUAUAUUCUCCAGGGUUUUACUUGGAUAUGUUGGCAUCUUAUGAGAAGGAACUAAUUAUGAGAAGGAUAAUUAGAUUGCUGGUUUGUUGCAUAAAAUUUUAAUUUGGAUUAUUAUAUUAAUGAAAGAUUUUGUUGGGAUGUGUGUA